Molecule: ribosomal RNA, 332 nt
Filed under: uncultured Chloroflexota bacterium
Lineage: Bacteria; Bacillati; Chloroflexota
Description: bacterial SSU rRNA
Rfam family: Bacterial small subunit ribosomal RNA
Source: RNAcentral
GAUGAACGCUGGCGGUGUGCUUAAUACAUGCAAGUCGAACGAGGAGCUAUUGUCUUCGGAUGAAAGCUUCCUAGUGGCGAACGGGUGAGUAACGCGUUGGUGACCUGCCCCGAAGAGAGGGAUAACAGAUCGAAAGGUCUGCUAAUACCGCAUGAGGUCGUUGAGGCUAGAGGCUUGGCGACGAAAGGAGUAAUCCGCUUUGGGAGGGGCCUGCGUCCCAUCAGCUAGUUGGUAGGGUAAUGGCCUACCAAGGCUUCGACGGGUAGGGGGCCUGAGAGGGUCGGCCCCCCACACUGGCACUGAAACACGGGCCAGACACCUACGGGAGGCAG